Molecule: long non-coding RNA, 326 nt
Filed under: Brachypodium distachyon (stiff brome)
Lineage: Eukaryota; Viridiplantae; Streptophyta; Magnoliopsida; Poales; Poaceae
Description: long non-coding RNA (BDIS_LNC005814)
Source: RNAcentral
UCCCCAAAAUCGGUGGUGAUUUGUUUUUUUUAAUGUGGUUUUCCUAGAGAGUAAAUUUCACAAAAUCACUACUCUAGGGGCUAGAGUUUCACGGAGCCACAGCUUAAGGGGUUCGCAUUACUUUGCCACUACUCUAGGGGUAAUUACUUUCACUUUGCCCAAAUCUAGCGGAUUAGCCCAUUUACUAGUAAAACUGACAUAUUGGGGCCACAUGUAAGUUCCGAUUUUUUUUUCAAAGCUCCUCAUGUUUUUCUCUUUUUUCUCAGACCUUCACCCCUUUCUUCUCAAACUCCGACUUACUCUCUGGCCGGCCGGCCGCCUGCCCG